UACGUAGGGGGCAAGCGUUGUCCGGAAUCAUUGGGCGGAAAGCGCGUGUAGGCGGUCCGGUAAGUCCGCUGUGAAGGUCGGGGGCUCAACCCUCGGAUGCCGGUGGAUACUGUCGGGCUUGAGUACGGAAGAGGCGAGUGGAAUUCCUGGUGUAGCGGUGAAAUGCGCAGAUAUCAGGAGGAACACCAAUUGCGAAGGCAGCUCGCUGGGACGUUACUGACGCUGAGACGCGAAAGCGUGGGGAGCAAACAGG
This 253-nucleotide ribosomal RNA is filed under the name uncultured bacterium. Its description in RNAcentral is "partial 16S ribosomal RNA". It matches the Rfam family "Bacterial small subunit ribosomal RNA", at positions 524 to 776 of the family's 1533-position model. The record is from RNAcentral.